AUAGUGAAUAUAUUAACUAUAUUGGGUUGUUUCUAUAUUUGUAUGUUCAUUUAUUUUAUUAUUUAUAUGCCAAAACUGAAAGCAGCGGAAACAAUUAGAAAUACGAUUCUAAAUCAAGAGUGGAAUGUUAAUAAUAAACAGUAUCUAGACGAGGACAUAUUUAUCGAUAAAGUAGAGUAUAUCAGUCAAGAAGAAAGUUUUGACUAUAUACGUCCUAUAAUUGUCAUUUCUUUGUUGACGACGUUAAUCGUAAAACUAUUUGAGUAA
Molecule: long non-coding RNA, 267 nt
Filed under: Oryza brachyantha (malo sina)
Lineage: Eukaryota; Viridiplantae; Streptophyta; Magnoliopsida; Poales; Poaceae
Description: long non-coding RNA (OBRA_LNC003613)
Source: RNAcentral